AAAGGGAGGUAUAAUAUACUUUUACUUUUUCGAACUCCAGCGUUUCAAAUCAUAACUGUAAAAAUAGCAAUUGCUUUCUCUUUAUUUCUUAAGCAGAAUGGAAAAACCUCUUUCUGCGGAUCGGACCUAUCCAGUGACAUGCAUUUCCACCCUCAGUUGGCUCAGAAUUCCCGUGACUGGUGUAUUAAAAUGGCAGCCUUCCAGACGAGUAACAAGCAUUGCCACACUCUGCCAUCUUUCUAGAUGAAUAGUAAGCAAUAAGUUUUGGACAUUUUUUAAAUUUUUCUUUAAUACGAUUAAAAACACAGUCUUU
RNAcentral lists this long non-coding RNA (313 nucleotides) under Struthio camelus australis. RNAcentral describes it as "lncRNA (ENSSCUG00000017392.1)". The record is from RNAcentral. Lineage: Eukaryota; Metazoa; Chordata; Aves; Struthioniformes; Struthionidae.